RNAcentral lists this ribosomal RNA (326 nucleotides) under Cercozoa sp. RNAcentral describes it as "SSU rRNA". The stretch from base 115 to 326 matches the Rfam family "Eukaryotic small subunit ribosomal RNA", at positions 743 to 955 of the family's 1831-position model. The record is from RNAcentral. Lineage: Eukaryota; Cercozoa.
GAUUUCUGACAUGGCGUACCUAGCCCGGUACGUUGCGUAUCGAGUGCUGGGUCUUCGUCUGUCAUCCCUUGUAGUGCCGUCGGGCUACCCUUCACGGGGCUGGCAUCGUUCGGUCUACAUCUUUUACUUUGAAAAAAUUAGAGUGUUUCAAGCAGGCUUUAUGCUAUGAAUACAUUAGCAUGGAAUAAUAAUUUAGGACUUCGGUUCUAUUUUGUUGGUUUCUAGGACUGAAGUAAUGAUUGAUAGGGAUAGUUGGGGGUGCUAGUAUUCAGCGGCCAGAGGUGAAAUUCUCGGAUUCGCUGAAGACUAACUUAUGCGAAAGCAUU